Molecule: long non-coding RNA, 379 nt
Filed under: Cairina moschata (Muscovy duck)
Lineage: Eukaryota; Metazoa; Chordata; Aves; Anseriformes; Anatidae
Description: domestica (muscovy Duck (domestic type)) lncRNA (ENSCMMG00000013833.1)
Source: RNAcentral
UAUGAAAUACAAAUGAAUGGUGUAUUAUUGGCUUCUUAGAAAUCAGGACUGGAGGUUACUCCUCACAAUGUGCUCUGAUUAGAACAGGAGGUCAGACCAGCAGUGUCUCCUUCUGUCUCUGUAACCUGUGAAUGAUUUGAGCCAUAUAAAAAUUACGCUAUUUUCUACUAAUUUCCCUGCUUGACUUUGCUGAUAGGGAAGUCUGCUGCUGUUACUCAAAUACCUCAUCUAGUUUUUCUAGGGAAGUUUGGAUGCUGCAGCUUGUCUGGCCAUGGCAAUGGCUUCAUCCUUCACUGAGUGCAGCCAUCUGGGGAGCUGCAUGGAGAAACUUCUUUGGAAACCCACAGGGUGGUUUGUGAAAAUGUAGCUGUAGUGCAUC